RNAcentral lists this ribosomal RNA (286 nucleotides) under Pantoea dispersa. RNAcentral describes it as "partial 16S ribosomal RNA". It matches the Rfam family "Bacterial small subunit ribosomal RNA", at positions 1086 to 1372 of the family's 1533-position model. The record is from RNAcentral. Lineage: Bacteria; Pseudomonadati; Pseudomonadota; Gammaproteobacteria; Enterobacterales; Erwiniaceae.
CCCGCAACGAGCGCAACCCUUAUCCUUUGUUGCCAGCGGUUCGGCCGGGAACUCAAAGGAGACUGCCAGUGAUAAACUGGAGGAAGGUGGGGAUGACGUCAAGUCAUCAUGGCCCUUACGAGUAGGGCUACACACGUGCUACAAUGGCGCAUACAAAGAGAAGCGACCUCGCGAGAGCAAGCGGACCUCAUAAAGUGCGUCGUAGUCCGGAUCGGAGUCUGCAACUCGACUCCGUGAAGUCGGAAUCGCUAGUAAUCGUAGAUCAGAAUGCUACGGUGAAUACGUU